AACGAACGCUGGCGGCAUGCCUAACACAUGCAAGUCGAACGAAGGCUUCGGCCUUAGUGGCGCACGGGUGCGUAACGCGUGGGAAUCUGCCCCUCGGUUCGGAAUAACAGUUAGAAAUGACUGCUAGUACCGGAUGAUGACUUCGGUCCAAAGAUUUAUCGCCGAGGGAUGAGCCCGCGUAAGAUUAGGUAGUCGGUGGGGUAAAGGCCUACCAAGCCGACGAUCUUUAGCUGGUCUGAGAGGAUGAUCAGCCACACUGGGACUGAGACACGGCCCAGACUCCUACGGGAGGCAGCAGUGGGGAAUAUUGGACAAUGGGCGAAAGCUUGAUCCAGCAAUGCCGCGUGAGUGAUGAAGGCCUUAGGGUUGUAAAGCUCUUUUACCAGGGAUGAUAAUGACAGUACCUGGAGAAUAAGCUCCGGCUAACUCCGUGCCAGCCGCCGCAGUAA
This 449-nucleotide ribosomal RNA is filed under the name uncultured bacterium. RNAcentral describes it as "partial 16S ribosomal RNA". It matches the Rfam family "Bacterial small subunit ribosomal RNA", at positions 29 to 523 of the family's 1533-position model. The record is from RNAcentral.